Molecule: ribosomal RNA, 486 nt
Filed under: Monostilifera sp. Hoplo_CB139_CB059_18_01
Lineage: Eukaryota; Metazoa; Nemertea; Enopla; Monostilifera
Description: partial 16S ribosomal RNA
Rfam family: Bacterial large subunit ribosomal RNA
Source: RNAcentral
UUUUUGAAUAUUUGAUAAAAAAUGUUUUCUGCUCAAUGAUUUUAAAUAGCCGCGGUAUUUUGACCGUGCAAAGGUAGCGUAAUCAUUUGCUUUAUAAUUGAGGGCUGGAAUGAAUGGAACAACAAGACAUUAGCUUUAUUUUUUUAAGGUUUAUAAUUUGUUUUCUAAGUGAAGAAACUUAGAUUUAUUUGUAAGACAAGAAGACCCUUUUGAUCUUUAUUGUUUGGUUUAUUUUUUAAUUUUUUACAAUUUGGUUGGGGCGACCUAGGAAGAGAUAAUCUUCCUUUAUUUAUUUUGAUCCGAAAUUUUCGAUUGUUAGAGCAAGUUACCAAAGGGAUAACAGCGUAAUUUUUUUUAAGAGCUCUUAUUAAAAAUGAAGAUUGCGACCUCGAUGUUGACUUAUAGUUUCCUUUUGGUGUAGCCGCUAAUAGGGUUGGUCUGUUCGACCAUUAAAACUUUACGUGAGUUGAGUUCAGACCGGCGUGA